This 1551-nucleotide long non-coding RNA is filed under the name Centruroides sculpturatus (bark scorpion). RNAcentral describes it as "uncharacterized LOC111639565". The record is from RNAcentral. Lineage: Eukaryota; Metazoa; Arthropoda; Arachnida; Scorpiones; Buthidae.
CGGAAGUAUUAAUGUCCAUUUCGAGAGCCGAAGUCGGAUUCAGAAGCAACAAUUUCUUUUUCUUCGACAAGCAAGCGGUUUUAAGUUAUACUGUCGAAUUCAUCACGCAAUUAAUUGCAUUUUUGACGAUAAGAAGUAAAUCUAUCAUAAAUUAGUACGUAUCCUACCGAAUAUUUCACUGGUUCAAUUGAGAGAAAUAAAUAAAAAAUUUACUUCGAUGCUCCAUCUCAACUGCAGCAAUGUUGCAGAUUUCGAAAUUAAACUUAACGUUCCUAUUUUGUUGAAUCUACAGUGACUUUACGUCAUCAUUUUCAAUUCCCAUAUUUCGAGAGAGUGGAGGCUGGAGUAGAUUUUCAACGGAUUUGAACGGAUUUUCAACGGAGUUCAAACGUUAAGUUUAUUGUAAGAAAGUUCUUUGUUAAUCGUUAUGGAUUCAUGAAAAUGCAAAGACGCAUUUUACUGUGAAAGAAGAAAUUGGGAUGUCUUGAGUUACGACAACGCAAUUUUUCCGUGCAUUUAGAGUUUUUUUUAACUUCACAUAUGACGAACAAUGCUCAGUUAUAGAAAAUAACUACUACUAGACAACUACUACUGCUACUGCUACUACCCCCGUUCCUCACCACCCGGCAGCCCCAUUGUGGGCCUGGCCGAACCCAUAAAGGGCCUGCAAAAAGACGCCCUCUUAGUGCCCACAGGGCGAAAAGAGUAAAAGAAAACUACAACUACUACUACUACAAACAAAUAAAAACAUGAGAGAAAAUUGUAUCGUCUCCUGACGCGAAGGAAUUGAAAGGAAUUGACUCCCCUUCCGUCUUAAACUACGAUGAAAUAUUGCGCAAAAAAGACAAUAGAAUCGCUGUCACAUCACUAGGAGUCCCAAUUUAGGAAUGUGGAGUACCUAACGAAUGUCAUCUCAUUGUUCUUAAUUGUUCACCAGCGGAAAAAGCUGCACAUAAACUUUGCACCAUUCGAAAACACUGCAACCGAUAGCAAUUCCCAGGAAAACCUGUGUUCGUUGCACACAGAAUAAAGAAAUUCUUUCGGAAUCGGCUAAACGUGCACAUAAAUAUGAUGAAUUGUGAUAGAUAUUCCAACAUUGUAACAAAGUCAAAGCCGAACCCAAUGUGCUUAUCGCACUUUUGUGCUCGGAAGGAAAAUGUAGAAGAUCCGUGUCAUCGUUGUGAUUUUUUAAUAUACAAGAUGUGUAAUAGAUAAAGGUUUAUACUACUACAAUUACUUUAAAACUCACUUUCUGUAAUAGGAAACAACAAUUCUACUUUUUAAUUGUUUAUUAGAGUCGGCAUCUCAUUUACCACGUUUGUACGUUUUAACACGAGUAAUAGUAAGAGAAAAUACAUAGAUAAUAGUGAUGUACAAAUAGAACGAGUAAAGGCACGUAGUACUGGGAUAUCAGUUAUCAAAUUAUACUUUAAUAGAUAUGAGAGAAUUGUUUCUUAUGUAGAGAUUAUAAGUAAAAUAAUGUAUGUAUAGGCGUUAUCGUUGUUAAAAUAUUAAGUGUUAAUAAAACAAUCGAUAUCUUGUAUGAUUAAA